GGGGUUGUGGCUCAGUGGUAGAGCGCUCGCCUCGCAAGUGAGAGACCCUGGAUUCAAUCCUCAGCAGCACAU
RNAcentral lists this transfer RNA (72 nucleotides) under Marmota marmota marmota (Alpine marmot). It matches the Rfam family "tRNA". From Rfam's summary of the family: Transfer RNA (tRNA) molecules are approximately 80 nucleotides in length. Their secondary structure includes four short double-helical elements and three loops (D, anti-codon, and T loops). Lineage: Eukaryota; Metazoa; Chordata; Mammalia; Rodentia; Sciuridae. RNAcentral also lists the same sequence under 1 other name. The record is from Rfam by way of RNAcentral.